CGCAGCAGGUGCUCACAAUACUGCGUGAAGAUGGCACGGUUGCUUGCUCUAGCGUUUCUCGCUCGCAUGUGGAUCAUCGUUUUAUCUUACACUCAGUGUCCAAAUGAUACUUCACCCGAUGGAUGGCACUCGCUUGACCCAAGCCCGUAUUACAAGGACAUGGCCUAUUUUGCUGCAGCCUCUCAGAAGGGCAGAGGACGGACACAUUACGACACCGUGGUGAAGCUCCUUGCGGUCUGCGCGCAGGAAAGCUCUACUUACUCCCGAUACAACCUGACAUCAAUCAAUGCGGAAUCAGUGUGCAAGAUAGGAGGUACCUUCAAUCAAAAGAAGUGCGUACCACAACGGGGAAAGGUGCGCUGGUUAUGCCAUUCGACAGUAAGUUAUAGCCAUCGCAUUGCAGUCGAAGCCUACGAUUGCGGUUGCAAGGACCGUUCCUUUGUUGCUUAGUACACCGUAUACUGCGUACUGUUCGUACUUCGUGUACUUCGUUCGUGUACUUUUCGUCUGUAUACAGUUGAAAAGCAGGCCGUCAUAAAUAAAGUCGUCUGGCAGUCGCCAAAGUCG
Long non-coding RNA from Ornithodoros turicata, 567 nucleotides. RefSeq lists it as uncharacterized. The transcript is spliced from 3 exons. The record is from RefSeq and is a predicted model, not a curated record. Lineage: Eukaryota; Metazoa; Arthropoda; Arachnida; Ixodida; Argasidae.